This 492-nucleotide ribosomal RNA is filed under the name uncultured bacterium. RNAcentral's name for it is "partial 16S ribosomal RNA". It matches the Rfam family "Bacterial small subunit ribosomal RNA", at positions 29 to 507 of the family's 1533-position model. The record is from RNAcentral.
AGUGAACGCUGGCGGUAGGCCUAACACAUGCAAGUCGAACGGCAGCACAGUAAGAGCUUGCUCUUACGGGUGGCGAGUGGCGGACGGGUGAGGAAUACAUCGGAAUCUACUUUUUCGUGGGGGAUAACGUAGGGAAACUUACGCUAAUACCGCAUACGACCUACGGGUGAAAGCGGGGGAUCUUCGGACCUUGCGCGAUUGAAUGAGCCGAUGUCGGAUUAGCUAGUUGGCGGGGUAAAGGCCCACCAAGGCGACGAUCCGUAGCUGGUCUGAGAGGAUGAUCAGCCACACUGGAACUGAGACACGGUCCAGACUCCUACGGGAGGCAGCAGUGGGGAAUAUUGGACAAUGGGCGCAAGCCUGAUCCAGCCAUACCGCGUGGGUGAAGAAGGCCUUCGGGUUGUAAAGCCCUUUUGUUGGGAAAGAAAAGCAGCAGGUUAAUACCCCGCUGUCCUGACGGUACCCAAAGAAUAAGCACCGGCUAACUUCGUG